RNAcentral lists this ribosomal RNA (668 nucleotides) under uncultured Tenacibaculum sp. Its description in RNAcentral is "bacterial SSU rRNA". It matches the Rfam family "Bacterial small subunit ribosomal RNA", at positions 824 to 1503 of the family's 1533-position model. Lineage: Bacteria; Pseudomonadati; Bacteroidota; Flavobacteriia; Flavobacteriales; Flavobacteriaceae. The record is from RNAcentral.
AGAGUUUGAUGGUGGCUCAGUGACUAAGCGAAAGUGAUAAGUGUCCCACCUGGGGAGUACGAUCGCAAGAUUGAAACUCAAAGGAAUUGACGGGGGCCCGCACAAGCGGUGGAGCAUGUGGUUUAAUUCGAUGAUACGCGAGGAACCUUACCAGGGCUUAAAUGUAGAGUGACAGGGCUAGAGAUAGCUUUUUCUUCGGACACUUUACAAGGUGCUGCAUGGUUGUCGUCAGCUCGUGCCGUGAGGUGUCAGGUUAAGUCCUAUAACGAGCGCAACCCUUAUCGUUAGUUGCUAGCAGGUAAAGCUGAGGACUCUAGCGAGACUGCCGGUGCAAACCGUGAGGAAGGUGGGGAUGACGUCAAAUCAUCACGGCCCUUACGUCCUGGGCUACACACGUGCUACAAUGGUAUGGACAAUGAGCAGCCACAACGCGAGUUGGAGCGAAUCUACAAACCAUAUCACAGUUCGGAUCGGAGUCUGCAACUCGACUCCGUGAGGCUGGAAUCGCUAGUAAUCGGAUAUCAGCCAUGAUCCGGUGAAUACGUUCCCGGGCCUUGUACACACCGCCCGUCAAGCCAUGGAAGCUGGGGGUGCCUGAAGUCGGUUACCGCAAGGAGCUGCCUAGGGUAAAACUGGUAACUAGGGCUAAGUCGUAACAAGGUACCCGA